UUAACUCAAAUUUGUACGGAGUUGAAACGUUUGCCUAUGUUUGCCGAUAGGGGCACUGUUCCAACUACAUACAAAUUUGAGUUA
This is a non-coding RNA of Bombyx mori (domestic silkworm), 84 nucleotides long. NCBI's taxonomy places the organism in Eukaryota, Metazoa, Arthropoda, Insecta, Lepidoptera, Bombycidae. The record is from Rfam.